CAAUGAUUUUCAUAUGACCUUUUAUUUAUGACUUUCAAACAAUUGUGUUCAGUUGAAACCUUUAUUAUUGAUCAUAAUUUGCUACAAUGAAAUCCUUCCUUUUCAUCGUGAUAAUGGUGGCCGUGAACAUCUCUCUUGGAAAUUCAUAUUUUCAACGGAUAAAAGGAGUAACGACAGAAAUAUCAUUGAAUGGCAACGACAAGAAUUUAAAGAAGAUUCGAUGUUCAAUAAAUGCAUAUUGUGAAGACUAUCAAAUGUGUUGCCGUAAUCGACAAAGUUUACGAGGUUAUGGUUGUUGUCCAGUUAGAUAUGCACAAUGCUGCAAUGGAGGAUAUUGCUGUCCACGUCCAUAUACUUGUUCACCUGUUAUUGGUUUAUGCCAGAUUCCUGUACCUCAUGCAAUGAAUUAUUGAUGGAGUGCAGUGUUGAUGAAAAGCAAAACAUCGCUGUUAAAAUUUAUGUUUGAAAGAUUAUUACUUUAAUUAUACUUAUAAUUAAAGAGUUAUUACCUAAUUAACUAAUUGAAACUUAUUUCGGCAAGCAUGUGGGUGUUACAAUCUCAUUUUCUUUAUCUAUGAAGAAUUUAUUACCAAGGGAAAUUAUAUUUUGUCCCACAAUUCAACAUCUGGAAUAUUUUUUGGUUUGAUAAUAUUAUAGAAUUUUCUGACAUAGUGGAAAAAUGAAGCAAAUUAUUGAUUUCUUUCAAUGAUCCAUUAAAAAUUACAAUUGGUUAAGUCAAAA
This is a long non-coding RNA of Xenia sp. Carnegie-2017, 741 nucleotides long. RefSeq lists it as uncharacterized. NCBI's taxonomy places the organism in Eukaryota, Metazoa, Cnidaria, Anthozoa, Malacalcyonacea, Xeniidae. The record is from RefSeq and is a predicted model, not a curated record. The transcript has 2 exons.